GAAGAACCUUACCUACUCUUGACAUCCAGAGAACUUAGCAGAGAUGCUUUGGUGCCUUCGGGAACUCUGAGACAGGUGCUGCAUGGCUGUCGUCAGCUCGUGUUGUGAAAUGUUGGGUUAAGUCCCGCAACGAGCGCAACCCUUAUCCUUUGUUGCCAGCGGUCCGGCCGGGAACUCAAAGGAGACUGCCAGUGAUAAACUGGAGGAAGGUGGGGAUGACGUCAAGUCAUCAUGGCCCUUACGAGUAGGGCUACACACGUGCUACAAUGGCAUAUACAAAGAGAAGCGACCUCGCGAGAGCAAGCGGACCUCAUAAAGUAUGUCGUAGUCCGGAUUGGAGUCUGCAACUCGACUCCAUGAAGUCGGAAUCGCUAGUAAUCGUGGAUCAGAAUGCCACGGU
This 400-nucleotide ribosomal RNA is filed under the name Klebsiella pneumoniae. RNAcentral's name for it is "bacterial SSU rRNA". It matches the Rfam family "Bacterial small subunit ribosomal RNA", at positions 963 to 1363 of the family's 1533-position model. RNAcentral also lists the same sequence under 1 other name. The record is from RNAcentral. Lineage: Bacteria; Pseudomonadati; Pseudomonadota; Gammaproteobacteria; Enterobacterales; Enterobacteriaceae.